GCUGCCCCACGGACAGAUCGGACCCACGGCUGGACCCAUGGCCGGACCCACACCUGCCCCAUAGAUACCCCAGCCCCACAUCUGCCCCAUGACUGCCCCACAGCUGCCCCAUGGACAGACCCACGGACAGAUCUGACCCACGGACAGACCCACAGCCAGCCCCACAUCUGCUCCCCACCACCACCACCCUGCCCCAUAUCCUGCCCCAUAGAUGCCCCAGCCCCACAUCUGCCCCAUAGCCAGCCCCACAUCUGCUCCCCACCACCACCACCCUGCCCCAUAGACACCCCAGCCCCACAUCUGCCCCAUAGCCAGCCCCAUGGCUGCCCCAUAGAUACCCCAGCCCCACAGCUGCCCCAUAGCCAGCCCCAUGGCUGCCCCAUAGAUACCCCAGCCCCACAGCUGCCCCAUAGCCAGCCCCAUGGCUGCCCCAUAGAUACCCCAGCCCCACAUCUGCCCCAUAGCCAGCCCCACGGCUGCCCCAUAGAUACCCCAGCCCCACAUCUGCCCCAUAGCCAGCCCCAUGGCUGCCCCACGGCCAGGCCUGCCCCACAUCUCCCCCCCCCCCCCCCAGCCCCCCCCCCACCCGCCCCCCCCCCCACCACCACCCUGCCCCAUAUCCUGCCCCAUAACCUUGCAAUAAAGGCCUGGGUGCAACCACGUGGGGAGAUUUGGGGUUAAUUUAAGGGAUUUUGGGCAAUUUGAGGAAAGGGGAAAAUUGCGGAGGGGCUGGGGGCUCUGGGGAGGAAUUUUGGGGCUAAUUUAAGGGAUUUGGGGCAAUUGGGGAGGGGCAGGGUGAUUUGGGGCUAAACUGCGGGGUUUGGGGGUUCCGGGGGAGAUUUGGGGCUAAUUAUUAGGAUUUGGGGCAAUUUGGGGGAGGGAGCGAAU
Molecule: long non-coding RNA, 888 nt
Filed under: Anas platyrhynchos platyrhynchos (common mallard)
Lineage: Eukaryota; Metazoa; Chordata; Aves; Anseriformes; Anatidae
Description: lncRNA (ENSAPLG00000016668.1)
Source: RNAcentral